This 496-nucleotide ribosomal RNA is filed under the name uncultured bacterium. RNAcentral describes it as "partial 16S ribosomal RNA". It matches the Rfam family "Bacterial small subunit ribosomal RNA", at positions 28 to 506 of the family's 1533-position model. The record is from RNAcentral.
GAUGAACGCUGGCGGCGUGCCUAAUACAUGCACGUCGAGCGAACAGACGAGGAGCUUGCUCCUCUGACGUUAGCGGCGGACGGGUGAGUAACACGUGGAUAACCUACCUAUAAGACUGGGAUAACUUCGGGAAACCGGAGCUAAUACCGGAUAACAUGUUGAACCGCAUGGUUCAACAGUGAAAGACGGUCUUGCUGUCACUUAUAGAUGGAUCCGCGCCGCAUUAGCUAGUUGGUAAGGUAACGGCUUACCAAGGCAACGAUGCGUAGCCGACCUGAGAGGGUGAUCGGCCACACUGGAACUGAGACACGGUCCAGACUCCUACGGGAGGCAGCAGUAGGGAAUCUUCCGCAAUGGGCGAAAGCCUGACGGAGCAACGCCGCGUGAGUGAAGAAGGUCUUCGGAUCGUAAAACUCUGUUAUUAGGGAAGAACAAAUGUGUAAGUAACUAUGCACGUCUUGACGGUACCUAAUCAGAAAGCCACGGCUAACUACGU